RNAcentral lists this ribosomal RNA (571 nucleotides) under uncultured bacterium. RNAcentral describes it as "partial 16S ribosomal RNA". It matches the Rfam family "Bacterial small subunit ribosomal RNA", at positions 355 to 919 of the family's 1533-position model. The record is from RNAcentral.
UGGGGAAUUUUGGACAAUGGGCGAAAGCCUGAUCCAGCAAUGCCGCGUGUGUGAAGAAGGCCUUCGGGUUGUAAAGCACUUUUGUCCGGAAAGAAAUCCUUGGCUCUAAUACAGUCGGGGGAUGACGGUACCGGAAGAAUAAGCACCGGCUAACUACGUGCCAGCAGCCGCGGUAAUACGUAGGGUGCAAGCGUUAAUCGGAAUUACUGGGCGUAAAGCGUGCGCAGGCGGUUUGCUAAGACCGAUGUGAAAUCCCCGGGCUCAACCUGGGAACUGCAUUGGCGACUGGCAGGCUAGAGUAUGGCAGAGGGGGGUAGAAUUCCACGUGUAGCAGUGAAAUGCGUAGAGAUGUGGAGGAAUACCGAUGGCGAAGGCAGCCCCCUGGGCCAAUACUGACGCUCAUGCACGAAAGCGUGGGGAGCAAACAGGAUUAGAUACCCUGGUAGUCCACGCCCUAAACGAUGUCAACUAGUUGUUGGGGAUUCAUUUCCUUAGUAACGUAGCUAACGCGUGAAGUUGACCGCCUGGGGAGUACGGUCGCAAGAUUAAAACUCAAAGGAAUUGACGGGGU